Molecule: long non-coding RNA, 519 nt
Filed under: Panax ginseng (ginseng)
Lineage: Eukaryota; Viridiplantae; Streptophyta; Magnoliopsida; Apiales; Araliaceae
Description: long non-coding RNA (PGIN_LNC019120)
Source: RNAcentral
ACCCGAAAACUACUAAGGAGGUUCCUUUCAUCAGCGACUGGGGAAAGGCUCCCUUUUAUGGGUCUUCUGACGUUUUCUGGGAGCAAGUGAAGAAUUAUGAUCGUACAACCUUUCCUCCUCCUGAGAAAGCAGGCUUAUUUCUAUAUGCUACGGCUUGCGCAAGUUUAGACAGCUUUCCCUGUUCUGCUCGCAUUCCUCGUAUGUGUAUAGAAAAACAGGAAUACCCCUACAGUCCCAUUCAUUUCAUAUCCGACUCAUCCAAUCGUCUUCAGGGGUGGCAACAUUGGACCGACGAGGUUCUCGCAAAUUCUGAUUAUGUGGAUAUACUGAAGAGGGCCGACAUUUUGCGUUGCAUUCAAUUAUGCAGGGAUCUUCGUAUCCGACAAGACCAAGAUGCUCUUACCGUCUUGAUUUCACGCUGGUGUUCUUCCACAUGUACAUUUGUCACUGCUUGGGGGGAGUUCACCCCAACUCUAGAGGACGUUUAUGCCAUUUACCAGUAAUCUUUUUUUUUUUUUU